UCACUCUCAGUGUCUGACUCU
Molecule: unclassified non-coding RNA, 21 nt
Filed under: Dictyostelium discoideum
Lineage: Eukaryota; Evosea; Eumycetozoa; Dictyosteliales; Dictyosteliaceae
Source: RNAcentral